GAUGAACGCUAGCGGAACGCCUAACACAUGCAAGUCGAACGAGUUUUAUUUGUAGCAAUACAAGGUAAAAUUAGUGGCAAACGAGCGAGUAACGCGUACUUAAUCUGCCCAAAAGAUGAGAACAACUAUAGAGAUGUAGCUAAUUCUCAAUAUGCCCCGCAAAAUGAAAAUAUGCGGGGGAAAGAUUUAUCGCUUUUGGAGGAGGGUGCGUCCUAUCAUGGUAGUUGGUAAGGUAAUGGCUUACCAAGCCUUUGACGGGUAGCCGGUCUGAGAUGAUGUCCGGCCGCGAUGGAACUGAGAUACGGUCCAUACUCCUACGGGAGGCAGCAGUGGGGAAUCUUGCACAAUGGGCGAAAGCCUGAUGCAGCGAUUCCGCGUGGAGGAUGACGCAUUACGGUGUGUAAACUCCUUUUUUGGUGGAAGACGAAUGACGGUACACCAAGAAUAAGGGACGGCUAACUACGUG
RNAcentral lists this ribosomal RNA (466 nucleotides) under uncultured bacterium. RNAcentral's name for it is "bacterial SSU rRNA". It matches the Rfam family "Bacterial small subunit ribosomal RNA", at positions 28 to 507 of the family's 1533-position model. The record is from RNAcentral.